GGGGUUGUAGCUCAGUGGUAGAGCGCUUGCCUCGCAUGCAUGAGGCACUGGGUUUGAUUCUCAGCACUGCA
RNAcentral lists this transfer RNA (71 nucleotides) under Marmota monax (woodchuck). Its description in RNAcentral is "tRNA.Ala". The stretch from base 6 to 66 matches the Rfam family "tRNA", at positions 6 to 65 of the family's 71-position model. From Rfam's summary of the family: Transfer RNA (tRNA) molecules are approximately 80 nucleotides in length. Their secondary structure includes four short double-helical elements and three loops (D, anti-codon, and T loops). Lineage: Eukaryota; Metazoa; Chordata; Mammalia; Rodentia; Sciuridae. The record is from RNAcentral.